AUAGUGACAAAAAUGUGGUGGCGUAGGCGUUUCUGUAGCAUCGGUUAUGCUUAUAAUACACAGUUACACACCCCUUGCUGCUUAGCAGAUUUGCGGCCAGAUAAAACUAUCACAACCGAAGCAAGCACAAGCUAUGCCAGUUUUGAUUUUUCUGGUAUUGACCUGUCAUCACCAAAUAUCAGUGUCAUCGCUUGGAUACACAGUUCCCAAUUCAUUGGAGCAGCUACCAACUACUUUCGGUCGAGUUACGGAUCUCUUCUUACCCUUUCUUUAAUCCCCUGUUUCCUCGUGUACGCCCAUGUGUGUGUGGGUGUAUUCACGAGGACGUCCUAUUUCCUAUCCCGCCUGGUGGAUUCAACUAUUCUGCGGAUGGAUAUCUUUUGGAUGCCUGGCAGUAUUUCCCAGGCAUAAAGAAGUAGAAAGACUGCAGAUCAGGCCCGGUUUUCUACCUUUUAUGAUGAGCUAAACAAUCAAAAACGAAAGACUUCAAGUAAAGUGCAACUUGAAAAUGUUAUUGACCCAAAGGGAAAUUUGCCGCCCCACCGGCGACUCUUCGUUUCCCUAGUAUACAAAACCAAAAUUCCUACAGAUCCUUAGACAAGGGCAGUUGUGUUAGCAAUAACCACUGAAUCUAUAGUAAAUCCCUUUCAAAUUCACAAAAAAACAUUGUCACUAAAUGAAAGGAUUGCGUGUAUUAUAUACGACGCGAAUUGUUUUGCAAUAAUGCAUUAGAAUCUAUAGAUGUAUGUAUUUUUUUUUUCUUAAAAUGUUGGCGGCACACAAAGAAAAGCACGAACAUUGAAUCAUUUGUCUGCACGAACUCUCUAUUUGCUUUCGUUUUAUAUUUGAAUUUUUU
Long non-coding RNA from Daphnia pulicaria, 856 nucleotides. RefSeq lists it as uncharacterized. NCBI's taxonomy places the organism in Eukaryota, Metazoa, Arthropoda, Branchiopoda, Diplostraca, Daphniidae. The transcript is spliced from 4 exons. The record is from RefSeq and is a predicted model, not a curated record.